Molecule: long non-coding RNA, 2251 nt
Organism: Homo sapiens (human)
Lineage: Eukaryota; Metazoa; Chordata; Mammalia; Primates; Hominidae
Product: long intergenic non-protein coding RNA 1304
Source: Ensembl
GCUGGGCUUUUCUGAACUACUUCAGUACACCUUGCUGUGCCUUGGCCUGCCGUGUUUCAUCCCCAUGGCUGUCCUCAGUGAUGUGCAUGGUCACUGCUCCCUUCACCACUGAGAAGACGGGCACAGGACAGUCAGGGGAUGUGUCCAAGGUCCCACAGCAGGAAGGGCUGGAGCCAGAAUGUGGUCUGAGAGGCUGGAUAUACAAAGAGACAAUGGCAUGACCAUCUGUACAAAUGGAACUAUGGCCCACAACCUGCAGCAGCCAGCCCAGGAAGCCAACCCGUCACCUGCAGCAGCCAGGAUGGAUGCUGGCCUGCCCUCACUGAUACUCAAGUCUAGUUUUAUAUGGCUCCAAACGCCUCCACCAUGAGCUCAAGGCAGUGAGACUGACUGAAAAACCCUCUCUAUUACAGACCACAACAUUGAACCCAACAUCCCCCUAAGUAGGUUGUACUCACAUCAUUGGUCUUAUGGGGAAAUUUUAAGACCUCCCACUUGUAAGGUUUUAUAGCCCUCUAUGGAAUAUUGAAGAAAGAGUAAAAUGCAUCCAAAAAAAAAAAAAAACACUAAACUGGAUAAAUUCUAAGGCCUCUUCAGGUCUUAAGAUGGCCAUUUUCUAGGUCCUCUUGCUGCAGCAGUGAAAUCCACAAACACGGACAAGUCAGUCAGUUACGUGCCUUUCAGAGAAAACUUCUGACUUAGGAAUUCCAGCUAUUUGGCCCAACCCAUAUUAGAUUGUGUUAUAAAGACAUGGUAAAUUACAUCACGAAGGGAAGAGCAGAGGAAACAUAAUAUUCCUUCAAGACCCAUCAGCUCAGAUGUUAGCAGAACACCCCUAAGGAGGAAAACAAGAAAUUUUGGGUUUGAACUUGGUACUUCCCAGCAGCCCUGGGAGUGGGGUCAGAAGCCCUGCUGGGGGCCAAAGAACUCUGAGGAUCAAAGAUGUUGAGCAUCACCUUAGAGGCCAAAGAUCAGAACAGUGGAGGUGGCCUUUGAAGCCCAACCUGUCUUUCACCAGAGAGUGAGAACGGCCUCUAUUUCCAGGAAGCUCACUGCAGCAAUAAUCAUGAUGCUCUGAGCCUGACAAGCAAAAGAAAACUUCUUUAGGAGGAUAAAAGGGAGAUGAAGAAACAGAAAACACAUCAGCUCUCCAUCCAGAUUACAGAAAGCAGAAAACAUCCUGAAGUGAAUAACAUAGGAAUCGCUCUUUUUCCCCCCUGAGAUAGCAGGUUACUUAUGAGAAACAAGCUUGAAAUCUCUGCACCUGGACCAGCUUCCAGAGGCUUUUGUCCUGACCAGCUGGCUUUGGGGAAGUAAAGGAAACCAGAGAAGAAGAGGCUGAAAGAAUUGGUUUCCACCGUGACCUUUGAACCCUCGGGCGAGUUGUCAGCCUCACUGAGGAUGAGUGUACUCCAUAUCAAGUGAGGUCACUUUACUCGCAAGCUUGUUGUGAGGACUGAAUGAAACCUUUUCUUUUUUCUUGGAGUUUCAGAGCAACGUCCCUGAGCCCAGCCCCACACUGGCUUGAGCCCUGUCGUCGGUCAAGACACGGUGCUUUCUCCCCUCCCCUCUGCACUCCAGCUUACUCUGCAGUCAGGAGGUGGCACCACGAUCCCCUUUAAGACUUUGCCACUUGGGCCAGCUGCGCCCCUGUGAAAUUCCCUGUUUCUAUUGCAGGCCACAAGGACGAGCUGAGAAAUGGCUUCCAGUCACCAUCUAGAUUAGAAAGCCUAUAUUUCAAAUAUAGAUAUAUCAAUUAUGCCUGUAAAAAGACAUUAAAUCCCACAGGGCUGUAAUUCCUAGACUCUACGAAUUUCAUCUUGCACCAAAUUUUAUUAUUUCAUUUAUAAUUCGGAUUCUUCAAAUCUAAGAGUGCCUGGCUCAAAAUUAAAAUACCUACAACUAUGCCAAAACUGGACUCUUUAAUUGCCUUACUGGAACCAGUAGCUGAUUCAAAGCAAAACGAAACAAAAUUCCUCCUUUCUCUGAUUUAGUGAAUCAAUGAUCUAACUGAACUCAUUUUUGGACUGAGUUUGCGGCACUUGCAGCCCUGAGGGACACAUUCCCCCACCACACUGAGCCUGCACUCCCAUCAAUGCAAAUGAACAUUUUGCUUAUUCAGAUUGGGGGGGUGAAGGAAGUCACAAAAGGGUUAAUACAUAUGGCAUUUCAUUGUAAUAUGUACUCACUACUAACUAAAUUAAAAGAGAUGUGAGUUAUUAAAAACUCCAUCUUAAGAAAGUAACAGAAA